CUCAUUAUAUCGACUUUUUUUUCUUUCUCUAAAUACGCGGCUCCUGCUUCUCUCUACAAAAAUCCUUCAAAUCAGUUACAAAACUGUGCAAAUUAGUAACAUUACUUCCAUUUUGGACAUCAAAUCAGGCAGAGAGAAAUGAUGCAGAGGAUCAACCAGCUCCAAAAAGAUGUAUUUCUUCUGCUAUUGUGAAGAUUGAAGAGGGGAAGAUUGUUGCGGAUGUAUCUAGAGAUCCAAUGGAUACAAAUAAGGAAGAUGCAGCUGUGGAAGCUAGUCCAAGGGAGGUACCUAUCAGCCAGAAUGAGAGAAAUCCAUCCAAUUGGCUCUAGAGAGAUGGCUAUAAAAGGCCAUCCAAACUGGUAAACAUACAUGGAUGCCUUUGGUGGCCCAUAUCUACUUUUUGUUAGUCCUUAUUCUCUUUAUAAAGAUAAUGGUGUAUUUCUGCACCUUGGAGAAAUUGAUAUUUGAUUCAAAUAAUUUGUAGGAUUUUGAUAUACCUCAA
Long non-coding RNA from Capsicum annuum, 502 nucleotides. RefSeq lists it as uncharacterized. Lineage: Eukaryota; Viridiplantae; Streptophyta; Magnoliopsida; Solanales; Solanaceae. The record is from RefSeq and is a predicted model, not a curated record. The transcript is spliced from 3 exons.